Molecule: transfer RNA, 73 nt
Filed under: Planctomycetales bacterium
Lineage: Bacteria; Pseudomonadati; Planctomycetota; Planctomycetia; Planctomycetales
Description: tRNA-Lys
Rfam family: tRNA
About the family: Transfer RNA (tRNA) molecules are approximately 80 nucleotides in length.
Source: RNAcentral
GAGGAUGUAGCUCAGUCGGUAGAGCAACGGACUUUUAAUCCGUAGGUCCUGGGUUCGAGCCCCAGCAUCCUCA